Molecule: long non-coding RNA, 1274 nt
Filed under: Fragaria vesca (wild strawberry)
Lineage: Eukaryota; Viridiplantae; Streptophyta; Magnoliopsida; Rosales; Rosaceae
Description: long non-coding RNA (FVES_LNC000517)
Source: RNAcentral
AAAUUAAAUUUUUAGUUUUACUAUGUACGAUAUAUUCUUAUAUCACGAUCGAGCGACCUAACUCAUAUUCUUAUUUCUUAAGUCGAAAAUAUCUCAAUUCAUGUUCCAAAAUCUCAUAAUUAUAAGUGUUUCAUCAUAUAUAAAAGAGUAAAUGACACUUUAGUACUAAUUUAAGCUUCUUUUUGUCCAUUUAAAUGUUUUUAAAAAAAAUGUGCCCACUUCAAUAUAAGGUGUGUGAAAUGUGCCUUAUUGGACAAAACUUUUUUAAUGGGCCCACUUUUAACAGUUUUUUCUGUCGAAAAUACCCUCAAUUUAUUUAUUUUUUCUGUUCUUCCCUCCCAAGUAAUAAACUUUACUGGGGGUAGUAAUGUGUCCAAGUCGUUAGAUUUACUUGUUCUGCAGCCUAACACAUACUUUACUAGGGGUAGUAAAGUUUCCAGAACCUUAGUUUUUGUUGUUCUGCACCCUAGAACAUACUUUACUAGGGGUAGUAAUGUUUCCAGAGCAUAAAAAAACACAACUAAGAGGGUAGUAAUGUUGUUCUGCACCCAGUAAUAAACUUUACUGGGGGUAGUAAUGUUUCCAAGUCAUCAGAUUUACUUGUUUUGCAGCCUAACACAUACUUUACUAAGGGUAGUAAUGUUUCCAGAGCAUAAAAAAACACAACUAAAGGGGGUAGUAAUGUUGUUCUGCACCCAGUAAUAAACUUUACUGGGGGUAGUAAUGUUUCCAAGUCGUUAGAUGUACUUGUUCUGCAGCCUAACACAUACUUUACUAGGGAUAGUAAAGUUUCUAGAACCUCAGUUUUUGUUGUUUUGCACCGCCAAGGCCAUCGAGGGCGCCUUCACCCCCGGCCAGGUCUGCCUCAUCAUCGAGGACCUCGUCACCAUCGGCGCCUCCGUUCUUGAAACCGCCGCUCCGUGCAGCCGGGUUGAAGGUCUGCGACGCCGUCAUCUCCGAUCGGUUAGACCAGUCGCGCCGCCUCCUAGAGGAUGCGAUUGUCCUCAACCCGUCCGAUCCGUCCAUAUCCAAGCUAGAGCUCGGCGUCUUGGACGACGCCGAUCAGAGGACGAUGGCGAAGACAAUGACCAUGGAGGACGAUUGCAGGGAUGGUGAUGACGAUGGCGAGCUUGGUGUCAAGGCGGAGGCGGUGGGUUAGGCGCGGCACGGUGGCAGACAGAUUCGAGAUCAAUGGCGAAGAGAGAGAGAGAGAGAGAGAGAGAGAGAGAGAGAGAGAGAGAGAGAGAGAGAGAGAGAGAGAGAGAGAGAGAGAG